RNAcentral lists this ribosomal RNA (301 nucleotides) under uncultured bacterium. RNAcentral describes it as "partial 16S ribosomal RNA". It matches the Rfam family "Bacterial small subunit ribosomal RNA", at positions 509 to 808 of the family's 1533-position model. The record is from RNAcentral.
CAGCCGCCGCGGUAAUACGUAGGGUGCGAGCGUUGUCCGGAAUUAUUGGGCGUAAAGAGCUCGUAGGCGGUGUGUCGCGUCGGCCGUGAAAACCUGGGGCUCAACUCUGGGCGUGCGGUCGAUACGGGCAUCACUUGAGUUCGGCAGGGGAGACUGGAAUUCCUGGUGUAGCGGUGAAAUGCGCAGAUAUCAGGAGGAACACCGGUGGCGAAGGCGGGUCUCUGGACCGAUACUGACGCUGAGGAGCGAAAGCAUGGGUAGCGAACAGGAUUAGAUACCCGCGUAGUCCCUGUCUCUUAUA